CCUACGGGUGGCAGCAGUGAGGAAUAUUGGUCAAUGGACGAGAGCCUGAACCAGCCAAGUAGCGUGAAGGAUGACUGCCCUAUGGGUUGUAAACUUCUUUUAUAUGGGAAUAAAAUGUUCCACGUGUGGGAUUUUGUAUGUACCAUCUGAAUAAGGAUCGGCUAACUCCGUGCCAGCAGCCGCGGUAAUACGGAGGAUCCGAGCGUUAUCCGGAUUUCUUGGGUUUAAAGGGAGCGUAGGUGGAUUGUUAAGUCAGUUGUGAAAGUUUGCGGCUCAACCGUAAAAUUGCAGUUGAAACUGGCAGUCUUGAGUACAGUAGAGGUGGGCGGAAUUCGUGGUGUAGCGGUGAAAUGCUUAGAUAUCACGAAGAACUCCGAUUGCGAAGGCAGCUCACUGGACUGCCACUGACACUGAGGCUCGAAAGUGUGGGUAUCAAACAGGAUUAGAUACCCCAGUAGUC
RNAcentral lists this ribosomal RNA (460 nucleotides) under uncultured bacterium. Its description in RNAcentral is "partial 16S ribosomal RNA". It matches the Rfam family "Bacterial small subunit ribosomal RNA", at positions 338 to 795 of the family's 1533-position model. The record is from RNAcentral.